GGGCAAAACAACUGAGGUGAUUCGCGGAUAACAAACCAUCGGCAGAUAUUCAUAAGUGCCGAUGUUUUGUAACAUUUGGCUCCAAUGUUUCAUUACUGAGUCAAUUCAACAGCAGUCUGAUCCAUUAAUGCGCCAAUACCAAUAAAAUUG
This 150-nucleotide unclassified non-coding RNA is filed under the name uncultured fungus. RNAcentral's name for it is "sequence contains ITS1". Lineage: Eukaryota; Fungi. The record is from RNAcentral.